GACGAACGCUGGCGGCGUGCUUAACACAUGCAAGUCGAACGGUAAGGCCCUUCGGGGUACACGAGUGGCGAACGGGUGAGUUACACGUGGGUGAUCUGCCCUGCACUUCGGGAUAAGCCUGGGAAACUGGGUCUAAUACCGGAUAGGACCACUGCCUGCAGGGGUGGUGGUGGAAAGCUUUUGCGGUGUGGGAUGGGCCCGCGGGCUAUCAGCUUGUUGGUGGGGUGAUGGCCUACCAAGGCGACGACGGGUAGCCGGCCUUGGAGGGUGACCGGCCACAGUGGGACUGAGAUACGGCCCAGACUCCUACGGGAGGCAGCAGUGGGGAAUAUUGCACGAUGGGCGCAAGCCUGAUGCAGCGACGCCGCGUGAGGGAUGACGGCCUUCGGGUUGUAAACCUCUUUCAGCACCGACGAAGCGCAAGUGACGGUAGGUGCAGAAGAAGGACCGGCCAACUACGUGCCAGCCGCCGCCGUAA
RNAcentral lists this ribosomal RNA (478 nucleotides) under uncultured bacterium. RNAcentral's name for it is "partial 16S ribosomal RNA". It matches the Rfam family "Bacterial small subunit ribosomal RNA", at positions 28 to 523 of the family's 1533-position model. The record is from RNAcentral.